This 84-nucleotide microRNA precursor is filed under the name Schistosoma mansoni. Its description in RNAcentral is "mir-3492 microRNA precursor family". It matches the Rfam family "mir-3492 microRNA precursor family". The record is from Rfam by way of RNAcentral. Lineage: Eukaryota; Metazoa; Platyhelminthes; Trematoda; Strigeidida; Schistosomatidae.
AGAAUUCUGUAUCCGUGCUGAGAUUUCGUCACACACCAGACUACAAGAGCUGAUGAGACUCCCAUUACCGUUAUAAAUUGAUCA